AACGAACGCUGGCGGCAGGCCUAACACAUGCAAGUCGAACGAGUAAGAGCCGUAGCAAUACGGAGUUCUGCUAGUGGCGCACGGGUGAGUAACGCGUGGGAACGUGCCUUGGAGUUCGGGAUAACAGUUGGAAACGACUGCUAAUACCGAAUAUUCCCUCAGGGGGAAAGAUUUAUCGCUCCAAGAUCGGCCCGCGUAAGAUUAGGUAGUUGGUGGGGUAAUGGCCUACCAAGCCUACGAUCUUUAGCUGGUCUGAGAGGACGACCAGCCACACUGGAACUGAGACACGGUCCAGACUCCUACGGGAGGCAGCAGUGGGGAAUAUUGGGACAAUGGGGCGAAAGCCUGAUCCAGCAAUGCCGCGUGAGUGAUGAA
This 375-nucleotide ribosomal RNA is filed under the name uncultured bacterium. RNAcentral describes it as "bacterial SSU rRNA". It matches the Rfam family "Bacterial small subunit ribosomal RNA", at positions 29 to 412 of the family's 1533-position model. The record is from RNAcentral.